Molecule: non-coding RNA, 147 nt
Filed under: Nomascus leucogenys (northern white-cheeked gibbon)
Lineage: Eukaryota; Metazoa; Chordata; Mammalia; Primates; Hylobatidae
Source: Rfam by way of RNAcentral
GCUGGGCGUGGUGGCGGGCGCCUGUAGUCCCAGCUACUGGGAGGCUGAGGCAGGAGAAUCUCUUGAACCCAGGAGGUGGAGGUUGCAGUGAGCCGAGAUCAUGCCACUGCACUCCAGCCUGGGCAACAGAGUAAGACUCUGUCUUCA